RNAcentral lists this ribosomal RNA (324 nucleotides) under Triticum aestivum (bread wheat). Its description in RNAcentral is "partial small subunit ribosomal RNA". The record is from RNAcentral. Lineage: Eukaryota; Viridiplantae; Streptophyta; Magnoliopsida; Poales; Poaceae.
AUGGCUGGCAUGGCGGUGCCGGCGUGGGUGGGGGCCCUCACGUCGCCUGAGGUCGACGCGGCCAAGCUGCUCCUCCAGCUCAGCGAGAGCAGCGCCUCAUCUGGCGGCUCCUCCUCCUCCCUGCGCUCCCUGAACGCCGCGCCGGCGCCAGCGUCGGGGGCCUUUGUUCUUGGUGGUUUCGUGGACUGGGAGGAAGAUGACGAGGAGGAGGUGCCCGGGGGCCAGCGCAGGGUGAAUCGCUACCGCCUGAUCACCGAGAUCUAUGCCGCGACGGAGGAAAUCGGUGUUUGCGGCGGCAGCGGCCGGAAGAACAAGAAGGAAUAG